UCCGGAUGGGACCCCUGGAGAAGACCACUUUCUCCAGAGAGGCUCCCAGCCUCUCCAACAGGCCAGCGCACCCCUGGGCAUCCCUCCAAAUAGCACCUGGGACACCCCGCCCAAACCCAGGACGGCUGGCUUUGUGCGGCUUCAUCUGUCUGCUCAGGCUGGAGGAGAAGCCCGUGGCUAGAGAAUGGGACAAAGGGUGUGAAACAGGGAGCCCCGCCCCACCUGUCACUCAGGGGACACGGGUUUGAACUGUGGUCCGGGAAGAUCCCACAUGCCGCGGAGGAACUGAGCCCG
Balaenoptera musculus (blue whale) is the source of this 294-nucleotide long non-coding RNA. RefSeq lists it as uncharacterized. The record is from RefSeq and is a predicted model, not a curated record. The transcript has 3 exons. Lineage: Eukaryota; Metazoa; Chordata; Mammalia; Artiodactyla; Balaenopteridae.